GAACAUGAUGAGUACUGUUGUCGCCCCAGUCUUACAAGCAUCUCUCUAGAUGCUUGAUGGUGAUAGACACUUUUAUCUUACCAUCUGAUUC
Molecule: small nucleolar RNA, 91 nt
Organism: Rhododendron vialii
Lineage: Eukaryota; Viridiplantae; Streptophyta; Magnoliopsida; Ericales; Ericaceae
Product: small nucleolar RNA U31b
Exons: 1
Source: RefSeq, a predicted model, not a curated record